UGAUGUUUAAAGAAUCAUGGCCCUU
This 25-nucleotide non-coding RNA is filed under the name Mus musculus (house mouse). The record is from RNAcentral. Lineage: Eukaryota; Metazoa; Chordata; Mammalia; Rodentia; Muridae.